CGCUGGCGGCAGGCUUAACACAUGCAAGUCGAGCGGGCGAGGUUGCUUCGGUAACUGAGCUAGCGGCGGACGGGUGAGUAAUGCUUAGGAAUCUGCCUAUUAGUGGGGGACAACAUUCCGAAAGGAAUGCUAAUACCGCAUACGCCCUACGGGGGAAAGCAGGGGAUCUUCGGACCUUGCGCUAAUAGAUGAGCCUAAGUCAGAUUAGCUAGUUGGUGGGGUAAAGGCCUACCAAGGCGACGAUCUGUAGCGGGUCUGAGAGGAUGAUCCGCCACACUGGGACUGAGACACGGCCCAGACUCCUACGGGAGGCAGCAGUGGGGAAUAUUGGACAAUGGGCGAAAGCUUGAUCCAGCCAUGCCGCGUGUGUGAAGAAGGCCUUUUGGUUGUAAAGCACUUUAAGCGAGGAGGAGGCUACUUGGAUUAAUACUCUAGGAUAGUGGACGUUACUCGCAGAAUAAGCACCGGCUAACUCUGUGCCAGCAGCCGCGGUAAUACAGAGGGUGCGAGCGUUAAUCGGAUUUACUGGGCGUAAAGCGUGCGUAGGCGGCUUCUUAAGUCGGAUGUGAAAUCCCUGAGCUUAACUUAGGAAUUGCAUUCGAUACUGGGAAGCUAGAGUAUGGGAGAGGAUGGUAGAAUCCCAGGUGUAGCGGUGAAAUGCGUAGAGAUCUGGAGGAAUACCGAUGGCGAAGGCAGCCAUCUGGCCUAAUACUGACGCUGAGGU
This 724-nucleotide ribosomal RNA is filed under the name uncultured organism. RNAcentral's name for it is "SSU rRNA". It matches the Rfam family "Bacterial small subunit ribosomal RNA", at positions 34 to 752 of the family's 1533-position model. The record is from RNAcentral.